RNAcentral lists this unclassified non-coding RNA (272 nucleotides) under plant metagenome. RNAcentral's name for it is "partial contains small subunit ribosomal RNA, internal transcribed spacer 1, and 5.8S ribosomal RNA". The record is from RNAcentral.
UUUCCGUAGGUGAACCUGCGGAAGGAUCAUUAAUGAGUUGUCAUGGGGUUCGAUGCUGGCAGCCAGUGUUUGGAUGCAUGUGCUUGCCCUAACAAUCAUCUUCUUCCAAACACCUGUGCACAUUUUUGAGGGAGUCUUGAGUUGGUUGCCGCUCUUGGGUGAUUUUCUCACAUUCCCUUAAAUCAUUAUACGCUAUUAACAAUUUUGAACGUGCUCUGUGCCGCAAGGCCAUUAAUAUAAUACAACUUUUAACAACGGAUCUCUUGGCUCUC